This is a long non-coding RNA of Cyprinus carpio carpio, 746 nucleotides long. NCBI's taxonomy places the organism in Eukaryota, Metazoa, Chordata, Actinopteri, Cypriniformes, Cyprinidae. The record is from Ensembl.
GUCGACAGCUGUAGUUUCAACCACACUGUUUUUUGGGAGCUGGUCUGGCCAGGCAGAUUUGACUGGAGCCAGAGUGUAGAUACAAGGCUGAGCUCAGAUAAACAGCUUCUUGUUUGAGCUGCCGCUGCACUGAGCUGCUCUGUGCUGAGCUGAGCAGGCUGAUAAGAAAGGCAGUGGCGGCGUCGGGGCCGUGGCAGCCAAGAGAAUGGACCAGGGCCUGGGGAAGUAGACACUCUGACUGCACCCUGCCCUCCCCUGACCGCUUCUCCUCCCAGCCCUAAUCUCUCUUCUUUUCUUCUCUCCCUCGCUCUUUUCACAGCAAAGGGCAGAGCUGCCUAAUUGCCUGGUGAGAGUGAAAUGUAUCAGUGGACCGCAUCAGCAUGGGGAGCAGGAGAAGAGAUGCAGACACGGCCGGCGGGUCAGACCCAGGAAGAGACGUGACCUCGAUGACUAUCCAUAUUUAAAGUCAGCGCCUGAGGACUGAUGGCGGUUUCCUUUGUGCUCCUGCUUAUUUUUGCUGACCUGGAAGAGGCAGACGGACACUGAACAGAGCCUGGGUAGGGGGUGGAGGAAACAGGGGGCUCUCCUGAAAUAUGGUCCUCUGCAUUCGGGAGGGUGAGGUGGAAUAACAGCAUCAUAUAGCUCUCAGGUGUCAUGCUGUCUGGCAGGGGGUUGGGAAUUGGGGAGGAGGCAGAAAGUGGGCUUAGAUGAAAUGAAAGCACUAUAUGGAGAAAAAGUGAUUAAAG